Molecule: ribosomal RNA, 466 nt
Filed under: uncultured Comamonadaceae bacterium
Lineage: Bacteria; Pseudomonadati; Pseudomonadota; Betaproteobacteria; Burkholderiales; Comamonadaceae
Description: bacterial SSU rRNA
Rfam family: Bacterial small subunit ribosomal RNA
Source: RNAcentral
GCCUACGGGGGGCUGCAGUGGGGAAUUUUGGACAAUGGGCGCAAGCCUGAUCCAGCCAUGCCGCGUGCAGGAAGAAGGCCUUCGGGUUGUAAACUGCUUUUGUACGGAGCGAAAAGCCCCUGGCGAAUAACCUGGGGUCAUGACGGUACCGUAAGAAUAAGCACCGGCUAACUACGUGCCAGCAGCCGCGGUAAUACGUAGGGUACAAGCGUUAAUCGGAAUUACUGGGCGUAAAGCGUGCGCAGGCGGUUUUUUAAGAUAGAGGUGAAAUCCCCGGGCUCAACCUGGGAACUGCCUUUGUGACUGCAAAGCUGGAGUGCGGCAGAGGGGGAUGGAAUUCCGCGUGUAGCAGUGAAAUGCGUAGAUAUGCGGAGGAACACCGAUGGCGAAGGCAAUCCCCUGGGCCUGCACUGACGCUCAUGCACGAAAGCGUGGGGAGCAAACAGGAUUAGAUACCCUGGUAGUC